ACAAUUGAAAUCAAAUAAUUUGUUUUUGGUCAAAAUCGAUAAAAUUGAAAGGCCAGAAUUUUUGUGAAAUUUUCUGAAAGGUUUGACCUUUUUACGAUAUUUAAUGAGUCUUCGAUGUUAGUGAGAGAUGAGAAAGGUUCUAAGGGCGGUUGGCUUCUGCUCUCUGUUGAUUUCAUUAUCUCAAGGACAUAUAUCUGGAGAUUUUUGACACUCUCAGUGGGAAUUGAACCCACGACCUCACUCACUGAACAUAGCAUUUGAGCUAUAGUUCCAUUUGGUAAUAGAGAUUGGACAAGCGUCUUAAGGAUCGCUGACUCCCACUCUCUGAUUCUGUAUAUUGGAGAGAUUGGCUUUUCUCUUGAGAUUGUUAUGUCUAACACUUUUUAGACAAGGAGCUUCCUUCUUGAGUGCCUUUUGUGUUCUUUUUAUUGUCUGAUUGAGCUGCAUUUGAUUUUAUUUCAAUUUGUUUGCGGCGAGAGGGAGAGAUUUUGAUGAAAUUGUCUAAUGCUUUAAGAAUGAGGCUUUGCUCUCAGAGAGACAUGGGAAGGGUUCUAAGGGUGGUUGACUUCUUCUCUCUGAUAGAUAGCGAAGCUGAUGAUUUCAUUUUAUGUCAUAAGUUUCCAACAACCCUGUCAAACAAAAACAAACAAAAACAAAAAUGCUGUAGAUGACAUUACAAAACUAAAUCUCUCCCUUAGCAAGGCUAUGAUGAUCUGCUGUUUGUUGCUUCAAAAGAAAUCUAUUGUUAUUGUAGCUUGCUAAUCCAUUUCUCGGCCUUCCUCAAAAGUACUGCAGCUGUGAUUGCAGUGUUUCUUUUUGAAGUCUCAUAUGCAAAGCCAAAUCUGAGUCUCCUUCCCAUUUCAUCAAAGUAGCCGAGAAAAAAUAUUUAUGCCUUCAUACUAAAGGCACCAAUUGAUAUUUAGGGAAGUUGUAUCAUUAGUUUAAGUAUGAGGCUUUGCUCUUAGUUGGGAUCGGUUUCUAGGGGUGGUUGACUCCCAAUUUCUGAUAGUUAGUGAAGCUGAUGAUUUCAUUUCUCCUAUUCAUUUUACCAACAACCUUUUUAUAGAACAAACAAAUAAAUAAAUAAAUUUUAGAUUGCAUCAGCAGUUAGUGAUUUAGCACUCUGUUUGGUAAAACAGAAAGAGGCUUUGCUCUCAGAGAAGGGAAUGGGUGUUCUUGUAGAGUGGUUGCCUCCCUUCUCUGCAUUGUCGCCGGAGCCGAUGAUUUCAUAACAUCCGCUUAUCUUUUCAAAUAAUUAAACCACUCUGUGUUUGUAUCUUUAUGAGACUGAGGGACUAUCUUAAAAUCUGAGUUGCAUGAGCAAUAAGGUAUUCAGCACUCUGUUUGGUUAAAUAGAAAGAGGUUUUGUUCUUAGAGAAGUUGAUGGGUGUUCUUGUAGAGUGGUUUCCUUGCUUCUCUCAACUGUUGCCAGAUUUUUUAAAAGAAGAAACCACUCUACUUGUGAAAAUGUUCAAAAAUGACGUUAAUGUUUACGUUGCAUUCUUGUAAGACCUUCAUGAUUUUUAAGUUGUUUAUUAUGAAGAGGCUGUGAUGAUAUGUAUUCGUUGCUUUUUAGGGUGCACAAAUCAGAUGUUAAAAAUAAUACUUUUGGUUGUUUUGGCAGGGUAGUCUUGAGCUUCUCUCUUGCAGAGAGCUUUUUGAUUGCAGCCACGGCCUUUUGUGUUUUUUUUUUGUUUUCAUAUCUGAUUAUUUAAGACGGAUUUAAUCUGAGCCUCCUUCAUUUUCUUUCUUGUUUCUGAGGGUUUACAGUUAUCGGUGCUUUAUUGGUGGUGGUGGUGGUGGUGAUUGUUUGCGGCAAGAGGGAGAGUUUUGGAUAAAAAUAUUGUCAUUGAUUUAAAUAUGAGGCUUUGCUCUCAGAGAGAUGAGAAGGGUUCUAAGGGUGGUUGACGUCUCCUCUCUGAUAGAUAGCGAAGCUGUUGAUUUCAUUAUCUCAAGGAGAUAUCUGACAUGUUUCCAACAACCCUUUGAAAGAAGAAAGAAAAGAAGAACAAGAAAAUGAAAAAUCUUAUAUAUGACAUUAAUCUCUCCCUCAUCAAGGCUAUGAUGAUAUGCUGUUUGUUACUUGACGAGAAAUCCAUUGUUAUUAUGGCUUGCUAAUCUUUUCGUGGCCAUGGAGAUGGUCGCCUGGCGAUCAGUUUCCUGGCCAUCGAAAGGAUUUCAGCUGUGAUAACAUAGUUUCUUUUCCAAGUCUCAUAUGCAAAGGCAAAUCUGAGUCUCCUUAAUUUUAUAAAAUAACACACAGACAAAGGUUCCAAUUGAGGAUGUGAUGAUUCUAUCUCCUUUUUUUUGUUCAUUCAAUAAUAGCAAUAAUAAUAAUAAUGGCGAUGAUGAUAAGUUGUGUUUGGAUAUUAGAUUUGAAGGAAAUAGAUUGUCAUCAUGGCAUGGUAAUUCUUUUUUCAAAGAAUUGCAGCCUGAUUAUACAGUUUUCCUUCUUCUCUAAUAUACAAGGCUAAAUCUGAGCCUCCUGAAUUCUGUCAACAAAAAAUUCCUUAAAGUAAAAGAAUGAGGCUUUGCUCUCAGGGAAGUGGACGGGUUUUCUGGUAGGGUGAUUGUCCACCUUCUCUGAAUAGCUGCAGAGCUUAUGAUUUCAAGAUCCUCCUGCUCCUGAGAUUUUUGACACUCUCAGUAGGAAUUGAACCCACGACCUUACUCAGUAAACAUAGCAUUUGAUAAUAGGUAUGCUCGACUUAAUUCCAUCUUAAAUGUUUAUAACUGUUGCUUUGAUAAACAGAGAUAAAUGCUUUGAAAAAUGGUUUUUCAUUUGCUAACAUUCAUGAUGCCCUGUGUGCUCCUUUUCAUUUAUAAAUGUACUAUCUGCACAUGUUAGAAUGAAACAACCUGAGGCUACAGUUUUUUUUUCUCUUUUUGGCGAGACUGAUCGAAUUGGUUGCGUUUCCACUUGAUGCUUAUUCUUUUUAUUUUCUGCUUAAUUGUUUCUACAAUUUUGGUUCAUGUGGAUUUUGGAUUCUCUAUAUUGGAGAAACUCCUUAAAUUUGGCCAUUCAUUUGAGACUGGCGCCUCUGAGGCGCUCCUUGGACAAUGCAUAUAUGUAUGUUUGCUGGUUAUAUAAUUAAGGUGAUAAUAAUAAAGAUUCAUUAUAUUUCCAUUUUAUCAGCUGCUUUACUCUUCCAGAAAGCAAAUCAGUGAUGGAAGGGAUAAAUUGGCUAAUGUAUCUCCUGCCAAAUGUGAAAGUGGACCACGUCGCAAUACCCUUCCUUAAUUUUGGACAUAGUUCAAAAUACAUUUUCAAUACAUCUUUGUUACCACUUACAGGUGCUCACAAUCCAGUGGAACGGGUACUUCAACAGAGAACCACUCUUCAUGAUCUCUGUGAGGAGGGGUAGAGUCCAUGGUAAUUACUUGCUGUUUUAUGCACAAAAAUCUAAGCUGUCUUUUGCUCGGUGGGUGGCGGGCAAUAACAGCUGAGGGAUUUAAAUGAGCUGAAAUAUACAGGCUGUGGGUGUUUGUGUUUGUUUUAGUUGAAAAUGACUUUUUCGAUAGUGUGCCAAGUUGAGGGGGUGAAUUGAUCCUUUGUUCAUAUAUAAAGCAUUCCUCAGACUGGGAGAUUCUGGCAUCUCAUUAGUUUAAGUAUGAGGCUUUGCUCUCAGAAAGAUUGGAUAAGGGUCUUAAGGAUUGCUGACCCCCACUCUCUGAUUGCUAGCGGAGCCUAUGAUCCAACCCAAAGAAAAAGUAAUUUUUUUACUAUAAUAGGGGCUAUGAUGAUGCAUCAAGUGUCUCAAAAUCAAGCAUGAAAAGGAACUACCGGUAUCAUGGCGGCAGGGCAAUCUGUUAGCGGCAGGUACAGUCAGAUGGUUGAUUUUUGCUCUUCUGAUUUUCUGGCCAGCAUCCUUGACGAUUUGCAGCUGCCUGAUAUGGUAAUGUUUCUUCUUGCCUGGUUUUCAUGACAAUAUUUCUGAGCCUUCUAUGUUCAAAUCUAUCUAUCUAUCUAUGUUCAAAUCCAUAAUAAUAAUGGUGAUGCGAUGACGAUGAUGAUAAUACCGGAGCUGCAGUGGGAGAAAGAGAGAGAUUAAGAAGUGAGGCUUUGCUCUCAGAGGGAGAUGAGAAGGGUUUUAAGGGCGGUUGGCUUCCUUCUCUUUGAUUUGCAGCGAAGCUGAUGAUUUUCAUUAUCUUCGAAAAAGAUAGGUAGGUUAAUCAACAGCCCUUUCUGUAGAAAGAAAACAUUGAAAGCAAAAUUAUAAAUUUCCAUACAUAAUACUGUCAAAACCUAUCUCACUCUCUCUCUUUAUCUCUGGUAGGGCUAUGAUGAUGAUAAGUUGUGUUUGGAUAUUAGAUUUGAAGGAAAUAGAUUGUUAUCAUGGCGUGGUAUUCUUUUUCCAAAGGAUUGCAGCCUGAUUAUACAGUUUUCUUUCUAGUCUAAUAUACAAGACUAAAUCUGAGCCUCCUCAAUUCAGUCAACAAACAAAAAUUUCUCAAAGCAAAAGAAUGAGGCUUUGCUCUCAGAGAAGUGGAAUGGUUUUCCGGUAGGGUGGUUGCCGAUCAACUGAGUUCAUUAAUAUUCGGCUUUUUAGACAAGGUAAAUUUGUUUGACUGGUGGUUGGUGGUGGUGAUAGUCUACUGCACAAGGGAGAAAUAUUGGAGAAAAUUUUGCGAAAAUGGAGUAGUUGUGUACAAAUGCUGGGUUUGCUUUUGGAGAUUUUGAUGUUAUUUAAUCAAAGCAAAGGAAGUUUAGUAUGAGCACGACUUGCUGGAAAAACUCUCAUCAUAUAUUAUUGAAGCUGCCCACGAAGCAUUUGCUAGGGCUCUUAGACGAGCAACACAAUAUAUGACCCGUCGUCUUGGGACUGUACCUGGUUGGCAAGGUGCUCACGGUCCAGCGUAAAUGGUAGUUCAACAAGGGAACCAUUCUUCAUGGUCUCUAUGAGGAGGGGUAGAGUCCAUGCUGAUUUCCUGCUGUUUUUAUGCACAAAAAUGUAAGUUGCCUUUUGCUCGGUGCAUGGUGGGCAAAUUACAGCUGAGCGAUUUAAAUUAGCUGAAAUAUACUCAAGUUGUGGGUGUUUGUGUCUGUUUUCGUUGAAAUUUUCCUUGCCAAGUUGAAGGGGUGAAUUGGUCAUUUGUUCACAAAUAAAUAGUUACACAGACUGAGAUUCUGACAUCUCAUUAGUUUAAGUACGAGGCUUUGCUCUCAAAGAGAUAGGAUAAGGGCUUUAAGGAUUGCUGACUCCCACUCUCUGAUUGCUAACAGAGCCUAUGGUUCAACCCAAAGAAAACGUAAAAGGAUUUACUAUGAUAGGGGCUAUGAUGAUGUGUCAAGUCUCUCAAAAUCAAGCUUGAAAACGAACUACCGUCAUCAUGUCGGCGGCGGGGGCAAUCUUUUGGUUGCAGGACAGUAGUAUCUCUGAGCCUUCUAUGUCCAGAUCCAUCUACCUAUGGAAGAAUACUUCUAUUUGCUUGACUUUUUUUGGGUGGGGUGGGGUGUGUCAAACCAAAGCUGUAGUUCAACACAAUGGAGACUCUUGUAAUUGGCUCUCCCCCUCAAAAUAUUAACUUAAUAUCUUGUGGAUCAAUGAUCCAUAUAUCGGAUAUUAAACUGAUAAGAACAGAUACUAUACUUGAUCUUAGCCAAAAGGCCGAGAAAGGUAUUAUUCAACUUCUUUAAAUAUGAUUGAAAUUGAGGCUAAACAAAGAUGAAGGUUUUGAAUGACUUAAAUUAUGGGGUUUGCUGUCAGAUACAGCUGAGAAAAAUAUUUUUUAUCUUCACUACCAAGUUGAGGGGGUGAACUGAUAGGGCUAUGAUGAUAAGUUUUGUUUGGAUAUUUGAUAUGAAAGAAAUAUGUGGUUAUCAUGGCGUGGUAUUCUUUUUCGAAAGAAUUGCAGCUUGAUAACAGAGUUUUCUUUAAUAUACAAGAAUAAAUCUGAGCCUCCAUUCUGUCGAAAUACAUUUCCCAAAGUAAAAGACUGAGGCUUUGCGCUCGGAGAAGUUGAUGAGUUCUCUUGUAGGGUGGUUAAGUACCAUUAUAUGAUUGGCUAUGGAGCUGAUGACUUCAAAAUUGCCCCGUCCUUUCAAUGAACCGAUUCAUCAAUAAAUGGGCACUUUAGUGAUGGAUGGUGGUGGUGAUGCUGAAGAGAAUUUUACCUCAUUGUGUUGAGAAAGAGGCUUCGAUUUUAUAGAGAGUAACUAAAAAUCUGGAGAGUCGAGAAAUCAGAAAACGCACCUGAGCAUUUUAACUAGCUUGAAACCCUCUUAGCAUGUGCUUCGGCUUUAUAGAGAGAUGGAAAGGGUUCUUGCUGGAAAGUUAAAGGGUCAAAUUGAUAUUUAACCCUUCAUAAAUUUGAAGGCUCUCUCUGUUCUUUAGCCAUAUUUCUUAUUUUUAAGUUUUUUUUAUUUAUUUAUCAAGUCUAUUUCUAUGAGAAAAUGAAUUAGUCAUCCAAGCUUUUAUUUGGGCAAGUAUGUUUCUAUUUAUCAUUGUCUAAUGACUUAAUGUAUUAAAAAAUCCCGAUCUUAUAGUCCAUUUUUGAUCCUACUCUAA
Molecule: RNA transcript, 6509 nt
Organism: Mercurialis annua (annual mercury)
Lineage: Eukaryota; Viridiplantae; Streptophyta; Magnoliopsida; Malpighiales; Euphorbiaceae
Exons: 8
Source: RefSeq, a predicted model, not a curated record